This 991-nucleotide unclassified non-coding RNA is filed under the name Hevea brasiliensis (rubber tree). The record is from RNAcentral. Lineage: Eukaryota; Viridiplantae; Streptophyta; Magnoliopsida; Malpighiales; Euphorbiaceae.
AUCCAGCAGCGAUUACUUGUCCACCAAUCUCUUCCUCUCGACACGGAAUCCAAAAAGUACAAGAAAGAAAUUCUGAAUUCUGCACAGAAGCUGAAAAUAAAGGUGAAAAUUUGAGUUGAGAGAUGGGCUGUACCCAGUCCAAGAUCGAGAACGAAGAAGCCGUUUCUCGAUGCAAAGAGCGCAAGCAAUUCAUGAAAGAUGCCGUCGCCGCGCGCAACGCCUUCGCCUCCGCCUACUCCGCAUACGCUAUAACCUUGAAGAACACUGGCGCAGCCCUCAGCGACUACACCCACGCAUCCUCCAUGCCCCCAUCUUCCACUGUUGAGGAUUUCGGACCUCCACCUCCUCCCUUCCGUGAGCCCUUGCCGCUGCAGCGCGCCGCGACCAUGCCGGAGUUUAUCCUGAAGCCGGAACAGAAGCUGGUGGGGUCCACGAUAAUGGAAGACGAGGAAAUGGAGUUUGAUACCCACGAUAAUGAGAAAUUGAUAAGGAAGCGAAGUAGUAGUAGUAACAGAGGAAGUGGCAGUAAAAGAGGAGCCGUACAAGAGAAUCAUCAACCUCAGCAUCCCAAGGAGCAGGGUCCACCACAGCCACCGCAACAGCAGCAGCAGCGGUGGAAAGAGGAGGUGAUGCGGGGGCCGACGGUGCAUCAGGGAUCUUCUUGGGAGGAGUACAUUUUUCCGCCGGUGGAGAGUAUGCCGGGGCCGACUUUGGCAGAACCGGUGGAUGUGGAGGAGGAAUUGAGGCGGAGGGAUGAGGAAAAGGCAAAUAAAGUGUCACAAGUGAAGGAGGAGGAGGAGGAGGAUCCAGUGUUGGUGGUGGAGGAAAAGGUGGAGAAGGCGGUAGAGGUGCCAGUGCCAGUGCAAGUUCCGGCAGUGGAGAAGAAGGUAGCGAAGAAGGACGCUGGAGAAAUGGGCAGGAUAAAACCGAUGAGUUUGAUGGUCUUAUUUGCGGAGCUUGACGAUCAUUUCUUGAAGGCUUCUGAGAGUGC